CUGCAACCUCCACCUCCCGGGUUCAAGCGAUUUCCGGCUAAUUUUUGUAUUUUUAGUAGAAAUGGGGUUUUAUCAUGUUGGCCAGGCUGGUCUUGAACUCCUGAUCUCAAGUGAUUCACUUGCCUCGGCCUCCCAAAGUGCUAGGAUUACAGGGCUGAGCCACUGUGCCUGGCAGAAUACUCCCCAAUCUUAAUGUUUCUGUGAUUCUAAGAGAGUUAGAUCUGAGGAAGGUGGUCGUAGUUAGCCAUUAAAAGCCAUUCAGCAUAGUCCAGUAUAUGGGACACUAGCCUUCAGUAGGCUGCAUUUGUUUCUCGCAGUGUCCCAUGGCCCUUUCUCCCUGCAUGGAAGCCUUCUCCCUUUUUCCAGGAGGAGACAGGCGAGAGAGGUCCAGCCUUUCUCUUGACUAUAGCUGGGCGGGGAGGGAGGUGAACUGGGCAAGCACUGGGAUUUUUUGAGAGCCUUUUCCCCUGAGCUGUUUUCUCUGCUACUCGCUUUCAUCCCCACCGUUGGCAUUUAGGAGCUGGAGCAGAUUUUGUCAUGCUGGGAGGAAUGUUUUCGGGUCAUACGGAGUGUGCUGGAGAAGUGAUUGAGAGGAACGGACGGAAGCUCAAGCUCUUCUACGGGAUGAGCUCUGACACAGCCAUGAACAAGCAUGCAGGAGGAGUUGCUGAGUACAGAGCCUCUGAGGGUAAGACUGUGGAAGUGCCUUACAAAGGAGAUGUGGAAAACACUAUCCUGGAUAUUCUCGGGGGACUGAGGUCCACGUGCACCUACGUGGGGGCCGCCAAACUCA
RNAcentral lists this small RNA (793 nucleotides) under Pan troglodytes (chimpanzee). RNAcentral's name for it is "retained intron". The record is from RNAcentral. Lineage: Eukaryota; Metazoa; Chordata; Mammalia; Primates; Hominidae.